Molecule: long non-coding RNA, 848 nt
Organism: Mastomys coucha (southern multimammate mouse)
Lineage: Eukaryota; Metazoa; Chordata; Mammalia; Rodentia; Muridae
Exons: 2
Source: RefSeq, a predicted model, not a curated record
CUAAAAAAAGUUUAAAAAGGUACAGUCAAUUUUACAACACACUUGCCUCUGACCAGCAGUGAUUGUCACAUUCUCCGCAGGCAGAGGCACUGAAGACACAUUAGAGGCAGUAAAGAUCUUGGUCUCAGAAAGCUGGAAAGAAAGAAAUCAGUUACUCCUGAUGUCAGAAAUUUGCCACAGGAUGAAAAUUUAAAUCAUCAAUGAAACUUACCCCAUUCCUUGAGCAGAAAAUCUUCCUCCUCGCCUACCAGAACUACCUGCAGAAAACCAGAAGUAUUUUGGAAGCUGAUAUUGAAAAUCUAUCCAGCCAAGACAUCUGUGGAACAGCCAAGUGUUUACUUCUUCCAGUCCCAUGGAGCACACCAAUUAAUCUAACAUGGGACAAUCAUUACUGUCAACAGCUGUUCAUCUGCUGCUUAAACUGCCAAAGAGGAGGAUGCAGGGUGGGGGGUGGGGGGAUAGAUAGCUCAGGUAAAGUGCUAUAAAUGUCUAAGCAUAAAAACCUCAACAUGAUAGAUCCCAGGGUAAGCCAAACAGGCCACUGGUGAAUUUCCAGGCCAACAAGAAUGUCUUAAACAAAACAAACAAAAAAAACAAAAAAACCCACAAGGGGUAAAAUUAGAUAAAAUUCUUGGACUACUCCAGCCAGAUGGAUUCUAUGCAUCACCCUGGGUGGUAGAAGCUGUUCCCUUUACCUGGGUUUAUUAAAUUGGUACUGAAAAUUCUAAAACCAAUGGGCCUGAAUGUACAAGAGAAGUAAGAAUCAUUGCCAACUUAGAUGCUAAUUACCCAAUUCAAGUCCUCAGUUGUGGAGUCUAUCCAUUACCAAAUAAAGUAUUAUGAAUAAA